AUGAACGCUAGCUACAGGCUUAACACAUGCAAGUCGAGGGGCAUCAGGAAGAAAGCUUGCUUUCUUUGCUGGCGACCGGCGCACGGGUGAGUAACACGUAUCCAACCUGCCCUUUACUCGGGGAUAGCCUUUCGAAAGAAAGAUUAAUACCCGAUAGCAUAAUGAUUCCGCAUGGUUUCAUUAUUAAAGGAUUCCGGUAAAGGAUGGGGAUGCGUUCCAUUAGGUUGUUGGUGAGGUAACGGCCCACCAAGCCUUCGAUGGAUAGGGGUUCUGAGAGGAAGGUCCCCCACAUUGGAACUGAGACACGGUCCAAACUCCUACGGGAGGCAGCAGUGAGGAAUAUUGGUCAAUGGGCGCUAGCCUGAACCAACCAAGUAGCGUGAAGGAUGAAGGCUCUAUGGGUCGUAAACUUCUUUUAUAUAAGAAUAAAGUGCAGUAUGUAUACUGUUUUGUAUGUAUUAUAUGAAUAAGGAUUGGCUAACUCCGUGCCAGCAGCCGCGGUAAUACGGAGGAUCCGAGCGUUAUCCGGAUUUAUUGGGUUUAAAGGGAGCGUAGGUGGACUGGUAGGUCAGUUGUGAAAGUUUGCGGCUCAACCGUAAAAUUGCAGUUGAUACUGUCAGUCUUGAGUACAGUAGAGGUGGGCGGAAUUCGUGGUGUAGCGGUGAAAUGCUUAGAUAUCACGAAGAACUCCGAUUGCGAAGGCAGCUCACUGGACUGCAACUGACACUGAUGCUCGAAAGUGUGGGUAUCAAACAGGAUUAGAUACCCUGGUAGUCCACACAGUAAACGAUGAAUACUCGCUGUUUGCGAUAUACAGUAAGCGGCCAAGCGAAAGCAUUAAGUAUUCCACCUGGGGAGUACGCCGGCAACGGUGAAACUCAAAGGAAUUGACGGGGGCCCGCACAAGCGGAGGAACAUGUGGUUUAAUUCGAUGAUACGCGAGGAGCCUUACCCGGGCUUAAAUUGCAGUGGAAUGAUGUGGAAACAUGUCAGUGAGCAAUCACCGCUGUGAAGGUGCUGCAUGGUUGUCGUCAGCUCGUGCCGUGAGGUGUCGGCUUAAGUGCCAUAACGAGCGCAACCCUUAUCUUUAGUUACUAACAGGUUAUGCUGAGGACUCUAGAGAGACUGCCGUCGUAAGAUGUGAGGAAGGUGGGGAUGACGUCAAAUCAGCACGGCCCUUACGUCCGGGGCUACACACGUGUUACAAUGGGGGGUACAGAAGGCAGCUAGCGGGUGACCGUAUGCUAAUCCCAAAAUCCUCUCUCAGUUCGGAUCGAAGUCUGCAACCCGACUUCGUGAAGCUGGAUUCGCUAGUAAUCGCGCAUCAGCCACGGCGCGGUGAAUACGUUCCCGGGCCUUGUACACACCGCCCGUCAAGCCAUGGGAGCCGGGGGUACCUGAAGUACGUAACCGCAAGGAUCGUCCUAGGGUAAAACUGGUGACUGGGGCUAA
Molecule: ribosomal RNA, 1452 nt
Filed under: uncultured organism
Description: SSU rRNA
Rfam family: Bacterial small subunit ribosomal RNA
Source: RNAcentral